AUGCUUCCAUGGUUUCUCAUGUUGAAAUUUUUAAGCUCUUCACCCAGAGGAUUUUUAAGUAUCAAGGUCUGUGAUAAUUCAGUGACCACCAGGGGGCAACAGGACUUUUGGGUGCCCUGGCCAAUCAAGUCCACACUGAACAAGAGUUAUGAGCAUCUACUGCCCUACAAUUCUUACAAUGGAUGCUUGGAAAUGAAAAGAAUUGUGGUCUUUACCUUUUAGAAUGUCACUUUGAUGAAAACGUCUAUGGAAGAUACAUACAGUCUUUCAUCCCAAGUGAGUAAAGAAUCUUCUCAAGUUAAAUAUGGGUAUAGAUAUAUCUGAGCAUUGUUAUAAUAUGAAAGAAUCACUAUUCUGUAACUUCCUUUAAAAAACACUUCAUUAAGAUUUUAAUUUCUUAAAGUUGUUCUUUGAUAGCUCCUUUAAAGAAGUAAGGAACUAUUUAAGAUGAUUUGAUCAUACUUAGAAGAAAAGUGAAAAUAAAGGUUUAUGUAUUUUUAUAUGAAGAGUAUAUGCAUAUGUAUAUGUUGUAUGCAUGUACAUGUAAAAACACACAUAUUAGAAAUAAGUGUUGAAAUGAAAUAAGCCAGAGUACCAAAAUAAUUGUAAUUGAGUAGAUUUCUUCCACUCAAAUUGAAGCAGAUUCCAGUAAUUUUUCUUUCUUCUAUUUCACACAUUUAUUUUGGUAUUGGAUUAUAUUGGUUUUAUAUUUUUUAAAUUAUGUAAAGAUUUUUUAAUUAUCUUUGGUAGAAAAAAAUGCUGGCUUAAGCUAUUUCCUCACAUAAGUGCAGAGUGUUCUGGCAAACUUUAUAGCUUGAGCCUGUCAGAGUAACUUUUGACAUUAAGGACUAAGAUUAACCAGUGUUCCUGCUUGUGACCCAUUAUAUCCCUCUGCUCAUUAUAGAUACUAUACUAUGUUCCAGGUUUGUGGAGCUUCUGUUUCUUUAGUGUUUCUGUUCUGGUUCUGUUACUAACCAACCCUGUGGCCACAUAAGCUUAUGGAGUUCCCAUUGUUCAUUUAUAGCAUUAUGGAAGUGGAGUUCCCAUUGUUCAUUUAUAGAAUUAUGGAAGUAGACUAGAUUACCUAAGACCCAGUCCAAUGUCAACAUUAUAUAAUUAUAUUGUUUAACAAUGCUUACUUUGGAUUUCAACAAAUAUCAGUAUGUUUCCCUAGAAUAUUCAUCUAGAUAAUUGCUAAUCUUCAAUUUUAA
This 1211-nucleotide long non-coding RNA is filed under the name Callithrix jacchus (white-tufted-ear marmoset). Its description in RNAcentral is "lncRNA (ENSCJAG00000070230.1)". The record is from RNAcentral. Lineage: Eukaryota; Metazoa; Chordata; Mammalia; Primates; Cebidae.